Molecule: ribosomal RNA, 496 nt
Filed under: uncultured bacterium
Lineage: Bacteria
Description: bacterial SSU rRNA
Rfam family: Bacterial small subunit ribosomal RNA
Source: RNAcentral
GAUCAUGGCUCAGGACGAACGCUGGCAGCGUGCCUAACACAUGCAAGUCGAACGGAGUGCCUUUGAAAGAGGAUUCGUCCAAUUGAUAAGGUUACUUAGUGGCGGACGGGUGAGUAACGCGUGAGGAACCUGCCUUGGAGUGGGGAAUAACACAGUGAAAAUUGUGCUAAUACCGCAUAAUGCAGUUGGGUCGCAUGACUCUGACUGCCAAAGAUUUAUCGCUCUGAGAUGGCCUCGCGUCUGAUUAGCUAGUUGGUGGGGUAACGGCCCACCAAGGCGACGAUCAGUAGCCGGACUGAGAGGUUGGCCGGCCACAUUGGGACUGAGACACGGCCCAGACUCCUACGGGAGGCAGCAGUGGGGAAUAUUGGGCAAUGGGCGCAAGCCUGACCCAGCAACGCCGCGUGAAGGAAGAAGGCUUUCGGGUUGUAAACUUCUUUUCUUAGGGACGAAGCAAGUGACGGUACCUAAGGAAUAAGCCACGGCUAACUACGUG